UUACAGUGAUGUAUGAAUUUCUUCACCUGAAGUUACUGUGAAGGGUGAACGCUGAGCUUUUUAACACUGAGUUGC
RNAcentral lists this small nucleolar RNA (75 nucleotides) under Dasypus novemcinctus (nine-banded armadillo). The record is from RNAcentral. Lineage: Eukaryota; Metazoa; Chordata; Mammalia; Cingulata; Dasypodidae.